This is a long non-coding RNA of Malus domestica (apple), 739 nucleotides long. RefSeq lists it as uncharacterized. The record is from RefSeq and is a predicted model, not a curated record. NCBI's taxonomy places the organism in Eukaryota, Viridiplantae, Streptophyta, Magnoliopsida, Rosales, Rosaceae.
UUUGCCAGGUUCGGCUUGCAUUCAAAAGGCCCAGACAGAGGCCUAAAGGCCUGGACCAAAACGGCCCAGUAUUGAAACAAGCAAAGUUACUCUGGUACCCGUUUAGAUUUCAGAUCGGACGGACAGGGGAGAAAAUUGUGGGGGUAGUUUUGUCAUUGUAUGUUUGGGAUUUGGGGAUACCGUCUGCUUCGUUCGAUGGGAUUGAGGAAGUGUUGUUGCAGACAAGGGUACGGCCUGCGGAUAGAGAAGAAGAGAGAGGGAAAGAAGGAGAAAUCUUGCAGACAGACAGAGGUGCAGCAAAGCAAGCAGCGGUAUGGGCUGCACUGAGAGAAGGAGAGAGAGAGAGAUAUGCUGAGUUUAAUUUUGGUGGUUCUGAUAUGGAGGAGAAGCUGCAGGAGCUUAUGAUCUUGCCGACUUAAGUACGGUCCUUCUUCAACUCAUAUAAACUUUCGAUCCAAUACUAGGACCACCCAAUGUUAGAAGUCUGGAUCCGUCAUUGCCACGAGGCGCUCGAAAGAUGUUCCUGGUUUUGAGCCUAAUCGGAAUCUGCCAAGGUCGGGGGAGGGGGGCACUUAUCCAGAUCUCCAGCGUUUUGGGAGUGGCUCAGAUUUCAUUUAGAUAUAUGUUAUCAAAGACAUGUUCCUUUGUAAACUUUUUCAGCGGUUUGUAAACUGAUAUGAUUUUUGUUUUGUUUGAAUAGAUAAUUAAGUCCUUGAAUGCAACUGUUGUUAGAACAUUA